UACGAAGGGUGCAAGCGUUACUCGGAAUUACUGGGCGUAAAGGGUGCGUAGGUGGUUUUUUAAGUCCGUUGUGAAAUCCCUGGGCUCAACCUGGGAAUGGCAGUGGAUACUGGAAAGCUAGAGUGCGGUAGAGGGUAGUGGAAUUCCCGGUGUAGCAGUGAAAUGCGUAGAGAUCGGGAGGAACACCAGUGGCGAAGGCGGUUGCCUGGGGCUUUGCUGACGCUGAGGCGCGAAAGCCAGGGGAGCAAACGGG
Molecule: ribosomal RNA, 253 nt
Filed under: uncultured bacterium
Lineage: Bacteria
Description: partial 16S ribosomal RNA
Rfam family: Bacterial small subunit ribosomal RNA
Source: RNAcentral